Molecule: ribosomal RNA, 522 nt
Filed under: uncultured bacterium
Lineage: Bacteria
Description: bacterial SSU rRNA
Rfam family: Bacterial small subunit ribosomal RNA
Source: RNAcentral
UAGAGUUUGAUCCUGGCUCAGAUUGAACGCUGGCGGCAUGCCUUACACAUGCAAGUCGAGCGGCAGCGCGGGGGCAACCCUGGCGGCGAGCGGCGUACGGGUGAGUAAUGCAUCGGAACGUGUCCUCUUGUGGGGGAUAACCAGUCGAAAGACUGGCUAAUACCGCAUGAGCUCGCGAGAGGAAAGCAGGGGACCGCAAGACCUUGCGCGAGAGGAGCGGCCGAUGCCGGAUUAGCUAGUUGGCGGGGUAAUGGCCCACCAAGGCGACGAUCCGUAGCUGGUCUGAGAGGACGACCAGCCACACUGGGACUGAGACACGGCCCAGACUCCUACGGGAGGCAGCAGUGGGGAAUUUUGGACAAUGGGGGCAACCCUGAUCCAGCCAUGCCGCGUGUGUGAAGAAGGCCUUCGGGUUGUAAAGCACUUUCGGACGGAACGAAAUCGCGCGGGUGAAUAUCCCGCGUGGAUGACGGUACCGUAAGAAGAAGCACCGGCUAACUACGUGCCAGCAGCCCCGGUCAA